GUGGGGAAUCUUCCGCAAUGGACGAAAGUCUGACGGAGCAACGCCGCGUGAGUGAUGAAGGUUUUCGGACUGUAAAGCUCUGUUGUUUAGGACGAAAGUGCCUGUUGCGAACAGUUACAGGUAUUGACGGUACUAAACGAGGAAGCCACGGCUAACUACGUGCCAGCAGCCGCGGUAAUACGUAGGUGGCAAGCGUUGUCCGGAAUUAUUGGGCGUAAAGAGCAUGUAGGCGGAGAUUUAAGUCUGUUGUGAAAAUGCGGGGCUCAACCCCGUAUUGCGAUGGAAACUGAAUUUCUUGAGUGCAGGAGAGGAAAGGGGAAUUCCCAGUGUAGCGGUGAAAUGCGUAGAUAUUGGGAGGAACACCAGUGGCGAAGGCGCCUUUCUGGACUGUGUCUGACGCUGAGAUGCGAAAGCCAGGGUAGCGAACGGGAUUAGAAACCCCGGUAGUCC
Molecule: ribosomal RNA, 450 nt
Filed under: uncultured bacterium
Lineage: Bacteria
Description: partial 16S ribosomal RNA
Rfam family: Bacterial small subunit ribosomal RNA
Source: RNAcentral